GAGGGCAAGUCUGGUGCCAGCAGCCGCGGUAAUUCCAGCUCCAAUAGCGUAUAUUAAAAUUGUUGCAGUUAAAAAGCUCGUAGUUGAAUUUCAGCUGCUCCGCACUUUCUUCCCGUUAUGGAGGUUGUGCGCCGUGGCUUAUUUCGGACUGUGUUAUGCACUGUCCGGAUGUUUACUUUGAGAAAAUUAGAGUGCUCAAAGCAGGCUUUUGGCUUGAAUAGUUUAGCAUGGAAUAAUAAAGUAGGACUUUGGUUCUAUUUUGUUGGUUUUAGGUACCAAAGUAAUGGUUAAUAGGAGCAGUUGGGGGUAUUCGUAUUUAACUGUCAGAGGUGAAAUUCUUAGAUUUGUUAAAGACGAACUACUGCGAAAGCAUUUGCCAAGGAUGUUUCCAUUAAUCAAGAACGAAAGUUAGGGGAUCGAAGACGAUCAGAUACCGUCGUAGUCCUAACCAUAAACUAUGCCGACUAGAGAUUGGAGGUCGUCAGUUUUUACGACUCCUUCAGCACCUUGAGAG
This 514-nucleotide ribosomal RNA is filed under the name Theileria cervi. RNAcentral describes it as "SSU rRNA". It matches the Rfam family "Eukaryotic small subunit ribosomal RNA", at positions 551 to 1094 of the family's 1831-position model. Lineage: Eukaryota; Apicomplexa; Aconoidasida; Piroplasmida; Theileriidae. The record is from RNAcentral.